AUUGAACGCUGGCGGCAGGCCUAACACAUGCAAGUCGAGCGGAUGAAGGGAGCUUGCUCCUGGAUUCAGCGGCGGACGGGUGAGUAAUGCCUAGGAAUCUGCCUGGUAGUGGGGGAUAACGUCCGGAAACGGGCGCUAAUACCGCAUACGUCCUGAGGGAGUACGUGGGGGAUCUUCGGACCUCACGCUAUCAGAUGAGCCUAGGUCGGAUUAGCUAGUUGGUGGGGUAAAGGCCUACCAAGGCGACGAUCCGUAACUGGUCUGAGAGGAUGAUCAGUCACACUGGAACUGAGACACGGUCCAGACUCCUACGGGAGGCAGCAGUGGGGAAUAUUGGACAAUGGGCGAAAGCCUGAUCCAGCCAUGCCGCGUGUGUGAAGAAGGUCUUCGGAUUGUAAAGCACUUUAAGUUGGGAGGAAGGGCAGUAAGUUAAUACCUUGCUGUUUUGACGUUACCAACAGAAUAAGCACCGGCUAACUUCGUG
This 484-nucleotide ribosomal RNA is filed under the name uncultured bacterium. Its description in RNAcentral is "partial 16S ribosomal RNA". It matches the Rfam family "Bacterial small subunit ribosomal RNA", at positions 30 to 507 of the family's 1533-position model. The record is from RNAcentral.